CCCUGCCCUGGGAGCAGAGUGGUAGCAACUGGAGCCAGAGAGGCCAGAGAAGCAGUCCAGGGAGCUGAAGUCAGAGCAGCAGCAGCCGCCGUGCUGAGGCAGAGUGGAGCUGGAGUUGGAGCAGGGGCAGUCUGGAGCUGAGUGCGGUGUGAUGGAGAGUAAGCUGAAGAGAAGAAUCCUUUUCCAGGAAGUUAGACUGAAAGUGGAGCCUGAGUAGGGGUCACAGAGCAGCUGCUGCCACAGAAUGCCUGAGCCAAAUAAGGAGGAGAAACAAGAGGACUUGGGAUGACAUCAUAGGCGCCGACUCCUUGGGUGCUCUGGGGCUGGAGCACCCAUGGGGAAAAAUUAGUAGGUGCUCGCAGCCAAGCUCCUCCCGCCUCGCCUCCUCCACCCCUCCCAAGCAAGCACCCACCGGGCAGAGGGGAAGUCGACACCUAUGGAUGACAUGUUAAGUGAGAUCAUGUAAACCAAUGCUGCAUCAUAUCAUGAACAGAGGCCUGGAGGAUGAAUAUUGCCUGGAGAAAGAAAGAGCCAACAGCACACAGGCUCAGGAAUCCCAGCAGGAAAAGAAGAGGGAGAUGCACCAGGAUGUAAAGGCAGCAAACACAGAUACUGCAGAUUCUUGUGGGCACAGAGGUUCAACAAUCGUGGGUUAAGGUUUGCCUCCUUUUGCAGUCCAUGGAGAACUUCAGUAUAGCACCUCCCUACAUGCCUCCCCCAACAUUCCACAUGGUGUCAGGACUGCAUCCCUACCCCUAUCACUCCACACUCAUGGACACUAUGGACAACCACAGCUUCACAUACACUGACAUGUGAGAACUACAAUUGAUAUGUGUAGCUAAAAUGGGUAUGAAUGUUCCUUCCCUUUCUUUAAGCUCUGUUCCAUAAAUGUAUUAAGGUUUUAACAUAUUUUCUUUUAACUUGCUGAGAAUUUUUGAAGUGUUUUCAUUAGUCAA
Mauremys reevesii (Reeves's turtle) is the source of this 956-nucleotide long non-coding RNA. RefSeq lists it as uncharacterized. The record is from RefSeq and is a predicted model, not a curated record. The transcript has 3 exons. NCBI's taxonomy places the organism in Eukaryota, Metazoa, Chordata, Testudines, Geoemydidae.